This is a non-coding RNA of Prunus avium (sweet cherry), 390 nucleotides long. Lineage: Eukaryota; Viridiplantae; Streptophyta; Magnoliopsida; Rosales; Rosaceae. The record is from RefSeq and is a predicted model, not a curated record.
GUUAAGAGCAAGUUGGUGGGUAAGACCCAGUUGUCUAGCGGGAAAAGGGGAAGUCAAAAAGCCCACGAAGCUCAAACUGCGUUUCGCUGAAACAGAAGACGACGUCGCUUGACCUCCUCUGAAAGUUUGAUUGGACUUUGAAGCACUCUGCAGAUACGAGAUUUGUGACCGACCGGUUCCCUUCAACGGAAGGUCAGGACGGUGCGUUUCGAGCCCUGAAACUCACCUGACUCGUUGAGUUUCAGUGUAAAACCCUAGAACGACUCAAACCGCACGCAGGGAAGGGAACUCACCACUCCAAGCUAUGCCUGGCUCUGAACCUGGGAGUCCAGAAAUGGAUCCAAUACAAGCCAAUCCUGCUCCGAGGAGGCCUCGGAUUCUACUUGCUGC